Molecule: long non-coding RNA, 631 nt
Organism: Pogoniulus pusillus (Red-fronted tinkerbird)
Lineage: Eukaryota; Metazoa; Chordata; Aves; Piciformes; Lybiidae
Exons: 2
Source: RefSeq, a predicted model, not a curated record
UCCGAGACCCCCCCAGGUUGGGGCGCUUGUAGGAGGAGGACACGGAGCUGCCCGAACCCCGCGACCACGACUGCGAGCGGAAGCCGCUGGACGGGGAGGCGCUGGCGCGGCUCCCCUCCCGCAGCGGCCCUGCGGAGCGGAGCGCGGUGCAGCAGCGCCCGGCGGACCCCUCAGGACCGGGGCCAGGGGCCGGGGCUCCCUGGCGGCUUCAGCACCGCGGGCAGCUCCGGCGGGCGGUGCCGGGGGCGAGAAGCAGGCAGAGGGGUCCCAAGAUGCAGUCCCCUGCCCCGGGCCCGAGCUGACAUCUGAAGGUCAGGAGCUGCGGGGCGGGAGCUAGCGCGGCCCGGAGCUGCGCUGCGGCACCGAGCGCUCCCCUCCGCGGCUUCGCCUCCCCUCGGGCUGCGGGACGGGCUCGGGAAGGGGCUCCGCGGGAGGAGGCUGCAUGCAGCCGCUGCAGUGCGGGAAACUGGAGUUGGGAAGAGGUCGUCCCCACCCUGCCCCGCCUCAGCAUCCCAAAACCUUCCUUUGGAUUCUUCUUUCCCUUUUCUCUUCCUUCCUCUCUUCCCCUCCCGCCCGCAGCUGUUCCCCCAGCGCUUGGUGCAUUGCUCAGCAAUAAACUCCCUUGCUCGGA